CCCUUAGAUGUUCUGGGCUGCACGCGCGCUACACUGACGCACGCAACAGGUGCCUGCUCCGAGAGGACUGGGUAAUCAUUUGAGUGUGCGUCGUGAUGGGGAUAGAAUAUUGUAAUUAUUACUCUUCAACGAGGAAUACCUUGUAAGCGCGGGUCAUCAUCCCGCGCUGAAUACGUCCCUGCCCUUUGUACACACCGCCCGUCGCUCCUACCGAUUGAGUGGUCCGGUGAGGCUUUGGGAUCUGAGCGGAAAGAGCGUUUCGCUGUUUCUGCUCGGAAAACUCAGUCGAACCUUAUCAUUUAGAGGAAGGAGAAGUCGUAACA
This 323-nucleotide ribosomal RNA is filed under the name uncultured eukaryote. Its description in RNAcentral is "partial 18S ribosomal RNA". It matches the Rfam family "Eukaryotic small subunit ribosomal RNA", at positions 1470 to 1796 of the family's 1831-position model. The record is from RNAcentral.